This is a long non-coding RNA of Dunckerocampus dactyliophorus (ringed pipefish), 4950 nucleotides long. RefSeq lists it as uncharacterized. NCBI's taxonomy places the organism in Eukaryota, Metazoa, Chordata, Actinopteri, Syngnathiformes, Syngnathidae. The record is from RefSeq and is a predicted model, not a curated record. The transcript is spliced from 5 exons.
ACGAAGUCUGCCAUGUCAAUCGUUAGCUGUACAGGCCUGCUGCACAAUACUUUCCAAAUAUGGCAAUUAAACUCAAACUCAUGAGUCUUUUGACGAGAUAUAUUUUACGUUGGUCCAACUAGGGCAAAACUAUGCAUUAUGCGCACCACGAUUUCAGACAUUUUCGUGUAUUUGAGUAGAAAAUCGAUUAGUGAGCGCUAGCUAGCUAGCUCGCUAACAGCGCAAGCUAACUGGUCUUCAGCGUUUUUUUUUAAACCAACCAUGGCUGAAAGAUGACAUGGCUAUACUUACCAAUAAUGUACUGAAUACACCAUGGUUGCCAUGGUUAUCGACGUGUAUCUGCGUGGUGAUGUCCUAAUGGGUGGAUUUGUCUCCAACUACUCAGCAGCACAGGUCAUCAUCAAGGCUUCUGGAACUACCUCCAUAGAAGAAAGGUUCUUGGACCAUCCCUAACUCCAGAAUUUGAAACUAGGCCUAAAUUCACAGAAGCAGAUCUGUAGAUCACCCUAAUCCUAUUGAGGAAGGCCUCUGGAACUACCAGCUCAACUCAAUUUCAACAGAUCUUUUUGAACAAACAAAGCAGAACUAAUCCAAUUCAAUCCACUAAUGACCGCCCCAAUUCCAAUCGCCCAGGUCCUUGGAACAAUCGAUAACUCUAUGAGAUCAGACACAACUUUAUUGAUCCAGGCUUCUCGAAGUAACCCUUUCUGCAAUGGAAAAAGUUCUUGGACCAAGCCAACUUGAAUUUACCCAGGGCUCUGGAGCAAACCCUAGCUAGCUCCUGAAAAUCAGACCUCUGAACCUAGCCAACCUUAGCCAGGUCUCUGGAACCAACCCGAACUCCAUUGGUGAAGGCCUCUCGCCAGUGGAACAUAUCUCAAGGGUCAACUCAACUCAGUGUGCAAGAAACUUGAGUCUAUAAAAGGAGGUACUAAACCAACUCAACAGGCAUCUGAAAUUAACCCUCUAACUCAAUUGGUAAUGUCCUCCGGAAACCCAAUAUGAGCAAGACCAACCCUACUCGGUUCACCCAUGGAACAAAAACAACUUUUAUAAGAAAAGGUUUCUAGAACCAUAGCACAACUUCAUUGGCCCAGGCCUCGGGGACUAACCUGAACACUAAAAAUGUCUCAACUUGCAACUAGCACGUGGGUUCCCAACUGAAGCAUUCAUCGAAAAAGCAGGUUAAAAGUGACCGUUCUGCUACGUAUGCAUUCAUCCAACACCUAACGUUCUUUGUUUAUUGACAUCAUGUGCUUUUCUACUUUUCUGUCACGUUAAUUUACCAUCAUGAAUAUUUAUAACCCAUCAAGUUCUUCAUUUUAAAUGUGUUUACUUGUGUUGUAAAGCGUUAACAGAGUCCCAUUUGUAACUGUUAAUGAGCAGCACAGCUGACUAAUUUCCGCCACAUUCGCUGUCAUUAAUUAGCAAGGCCUCUGAUAACUCUGCAGACAAAAUCUCCCUAAGCUGGAAACAUGAAACAACUUUCCAUCACACUGUCCUGUUGCUGAUUUGAACCCAGGAAAGGAAAAUAAAACUCGAUGGACUCCAUAGGGUUUUUUUUUCCUUACUUCUCAAGAGCCGGGUGUUAAUAUUUAGGCAGUACAGUGACAGUGUAAGUUAUGGCCGGCGGCGGGCCAAAAGACAUUUUCACAAUCCUCAUAUUUAUGUUUCUCACAUGUGUUUUAGUGCUAUUUUCCUGUUCCAUUAAAUGUAGUCGCUAUAGCGCUAGAAAAGGAGAUUACGAUGUUUUCGAGCAUUGUUACAAAAUUACAGACACACUCGCACGGCACGUUUGACUAGUGUGAGUGUACCGAUACGUACCCAGGCACGGCACGUCUCAAAGUCUCAAAAUUAUCUCAAAGUCAUACACAUGGUACAUAAUAAAAAUGUGUCAUUUAAUUCAUGCAAUUACUGCUCUUGCAACAUCCGAAAAACUCCAAAUAAGACUGGAAAUAAAUCACAAAGUCAUCACAAUUGGAGCAGAAUGUGUCAUUUAAUGUGUCACUUCUCUUGCAAUAAUUAACAGGAAUCAAAAUAAUCCACUAAAUCAGGAAAAUGGCGGUAAAGCAGCAGCGUAGAAGUGAUGGGACGUGUAAACACACCGUCGUUCGAAUGCUCAGUCUGAACGCAGACCAGUGGGGCCCAGGAGAGUUACGGGGAAUCAAACCCAAGUCCAUCACGGUACUCAUGGACCUGCGUCAAGUUUGUCACCCUUCCCCACGCACAACUGGUGAAGAAUUCUCAGGCCCUGUCUACAUAGAAUGAUUUCUGGAUUGUUUUUUUUGGGGGGUUGAAAAAAAUGUGCAUCCAUCGAGCAUCGACGGGAACCGGGACUUACAUCCUGAUUCUGCCGGAAUCUUUCAUGUUUUUAAAAUUUCAGUCUUUACGUUGGUGAUCUUCUUCCAACAAGUCAGAUAAGUAAAACAGUAAAUUACAUUGAUCUUAUGCCAACAUUGAAGUAGCAAACAAAUUAUACUUUGUACUGCGAAUACGGUGGCCAACUCAUAUAUCCAGCUAACGUGAUGCUGUGUACUUUACCUGAUGUUAACCUAGCUUUAGCCAGGAAGUUGACCAGACCCCGCGCGAAGUGUUACUCCAUUCACCGUACUUAUUUGGUAUUCUGCAAGCAGUUUAGUAGGAGCUCAGUAACAUGGUUACUGGUCUUCAAAAAUAAAAAUGACUUUAUGUUACAUUUAUGUUCAAGUUCAAUUGUUUGAUGUUUAUAUAUCGGUUAAUAAUAGCCCUGUGAGAUAUUCAUAGUAAAUUCAUAAAAAGUUCAUAUAAUUUAAAACAAAUCAUGGAGACAUUCAGACAUUUCAUCCAAAAACUUUGGUUAGCGCCCUCAUGUAAACCAUGCCAACUUUUAUGACUCUACCUUUGAAAAGAAUCGGAAUCGUGACUCGUUAGGAAUUGGAAAUCGAAAGGAGGAAUCGGAAUUGCUCAAAUUCAAACGAUGCCCAACCCGAGUCACGUCCGUCGAAAUAUUCAGAUAUUAUGUUGGCUUGUCGUCAAAGCUCACUUCUGGUCACGUGACGGCGUCGUUGUGGCAACGGAUUGGUGACGUCAUUGUUUCUGAAAAACAGAGGUUCGGUCGUCUAUACGGAAACGACAAGCCGGUGUUUUCCGAUUUUCCUACUCUGCAAGAUGUUUUCAAAAAAAUACCUUUUCAGGGCACCCAGAACGCCGUUCCCGUCUGGAUGACAGGCGGAAAGGUUCAAAUACUUUGCUGUUUUGACCUGAAAACGUUUCAAUGUGGAUAGCCCCAUGUGGAUAGCGUGGCGAACUGCCAGGGGAGGCAUGAGAGGCAGGGAGGACUUUGAGUAUUAGUGCAGACCUGCCCACGUCUGAAUUUGUCGUACUCAGCAUGCAGUUGGACUCGCGAUUAUGCUUCACUGCUCUCCAUUUGUUUGCAUUUCGCCGGUUUCCGUUUCAAAUUCAGUCUGUACUGUACAGAUAAAUAAAUAGAUAUUAUCAUUUUCUUCAUCCGAUUUCAAAUCGGGUGGGCGCUAAAACAUUUCUCUCCCCCAGUGGGGGCAUGACAGAAAACAAUUGAGAACCACUGCUUUAAUCCAACUACACAAACCUUUAUUUUUCAUCACGGCAUCCCAUUCUAGUUCUGGAUCUGGUUCUGGUGUUGCCGUUGUUGUUUUUGCAGGUGUUGUUCAGCGUGGAUCCCUGAACCAGGGCCUGCAUGGCAGCUCUCAAGGAAACACCAAAACUGGUGGAGCUCAAAUGCAUGCAUAGCCCAUAGCCCUUUGUUGCGGUCAAAAGAGUCAGAAAGAAGUGAAAGCCCAAUGAAGUAUCACUUGGAUGUUCAUAUCUUGAAUAUUCUUUGACCUUCGUUACUCACACGCUUCCUCUUUUUGUUUUUCCACAGAUGGAUUUUUUUGUUUUUGUUGCAUGGAUCCCACAGAUCAGACAUCUGCUGCAGAUGAUCACAGUGGUUGGGCCCGUGCGGUCUGUCACCAGCUUGGAGGUUCUUUGCAGUGGGGAGCGUCGUCUUCAUCACAGUGGCAGGUGCUGAUGGAAGCUGAGGCGUCCAAUUAAAGGAGUUGAUGAUUGAUGAGGUCAGCUGCUCGUGCUUCAAAUUAACCUUUCAAUUAAGCUCCAACGAAAAAAAGCAACAGCACAAGUUUAGCAGCAGCCAUGCUUUGCUUGCACGGCCACCGAAUUAAGCAUCCGCCUCAAUUUGCGAUUAUGAAUGAGCUGUGACACUUUGAACGUUCGCACGGGACACCAACGACUGCAGAUGAAGCACGUGCUUGCGUGAACAUCGGCGCUUUUCACGAUCAUGCUCAGACAAGUGCAAAAUAUCAACAUCAGCGAGCUAAAAUGGCGCGGCGUUUUUAAUCUGAGGCAGUGUUGCGUCCGAACAAAAUGUCCCUCCACCCCUCCCACAAAUAGAAAGGUGCAGCAAAGACCUCCAAGGCAGCCGUAACAGAAAGUCCUGCUGUUUUACAACUCUUGUCACCAUAUGGUGCUGUUGGCACACAACACUUCUUCUUCCAUCCAAAUGGUCCACAAGCAACUCAUCUUUCAAAGGAAACUGCAACAAAUACUGUGUAUAUAUAUAUAUAUGUGUGUGUGUGUGUGUGUGUAUUUGUAUUUCUGACUAAUCGGAUUGAAAUAUAAUAAUAGUUUAUACCACAAAUGCUCGACAAUUAUUAUAGUGGCAAAUAGGACGAAUGCACGUGUCAAACAAAAAGAAACCUUUUUUUUUUUAAAUAUACCUGCUGCUGUGCUCCAAAUGAUUUCGUUCUUUCUUUCUGUUGCUUAAUUGAUUACACAUCAUCAUCACAAUGAAGGUGAUAUAAUCCAGUGAUUACAGGCACAUAUAAUGCAUGAAACAUUUCACUUGAAACACGUGCAGUACAUAUUUUUACAUCGUCCGUGGGUGGAAUGCGUCACAUUUUUCAUAAAUAACACAGGAACCAAUCAGUAAUGACU